AUGGUGGUGGCUCAGUGGUAGAGCACUUGUCUAGAAUGUGUGAGGCACUGGGUUCAAUCCCUGGCACCACA
RNAcentral lists this transfer RNA (71 nucleotides) under Ictidomys tridecemlineatus (thirteen-lined ground squirrel). RNAcentral describes it as "Spermophilus tridecemlineatus (thirteen-lined ground squirrel) tRNA". It matches the Rfam family "tRNA". Rfam says of the family: Transfer RNA (tRNA) molecules are approximately 80 nucleotides in length. Their secondary structure includes four short double-helical elements and three loops (D, anti-codon, and T loops). Further hydrogen bonds mediate the characteristic L-shaped molecular structure. tRNAs have two regions of fundamental functional importance: the anti-codon, which is responsible for specific mRNA codon recognition, and the 3' end, to which the tRNAs corresponding amino acid is attached (by aminoacyl-tRNA synthetases). tRNAs cope with the degeneracy of the genetic code in two manners: having more than one tRNA (with a specific anti-codon) for a particular amino acid; and 'wobble' base-pairing, i.e. permitting non-standard base-pairing at the 3rd anti-codon position. Lineage: Eukaryota; Metazoa; Chordata; Mammalia; Rodentia; Sciuridae. The record is from Rfam by way of RNAcentral.